GAGUUUGAUCGUGGCUCAGAUUGAACGCUGGCGGCAGGCCUAACACAUGCAAGUCGAGCGGUAGAGAGAAGCUUGCUUCUCUUGAGAGCGGCGGACGGGUGAGUAAUGCCUAGGAAUCUGCCUGGUAGUGGGGGAUAACGCUCGGAAACGGACGCUAAUACCGCAUACGUCCUACGGGAGAAAGCAGGGGACCUUCGGGCCUUGCGCUAUCAGAUGAGCCUAGGUCGGAUUAGCUAGUUGGUGAGGUAAUGGCUCACCAAGGCGACGAUCCGUAACUGGUCUGAGAGGAUGAUCAGUCACACUGGAACUGAGACACGGUCCAGACUCCUACGGGAGGCAGCAGUGGGGAAUAUUGGACAAUGGGCGAAAGGCCUGAUCCAGCCAUGCCGCGUGUGUGAAGAAGGUCUUCGGAUUGUAAAGCACUUUAAGUUGGGAGGAAGGGCAGUAAAUUAAUACUUUGCUGUUUUGACGUUACCGACAGAAUAAGCACCGGCUAACUCUGUGCCAGCCGCCG
Molecule: ribosomal RNA, 514 nt
Filed under: uncultured bacterium
Lineage: Bacteria
Description: bacterial SSU rRNA
Rfam family: Bacterial small subunit ribosomal RNA
Source: RNAcentral